Molecule: ribosomal RNA, 1400 nt
Filed under: metagenome
Description: bacterial SSU rRNA
Rfam family: Archaeal small subunit ribosomal RNA
Source: RNAcentral
UCCCGUUGAUCCUGCGGGAGAGUGCUGCUAUGGGAGUUCGGUUAAGCCAUGCAAGUCGGAGGUUCGCAAGAGCCAGGCUGAAGGCUCAGUAACACGUCAAUAAUCUGCCCUAUGGUCCGAGAUAACCUUGGGAAACUGAGAGUAAAACCGGAUAGAUACUGGAUACUGGAAUGUUCUGGUAUUGAAAUGUAAAGCCAUAGGAUGAGUUGGCGGCUGAUUAGGUAGUUGGCGGUGUAAAGGACCACCAAGCCUACAAUCAGUACGGGCCGUGAGAGCGGGAGCCCGGAGAGGGGGACUGAGAUACUGCCCCCAGCCCUACGGGGUGCAGCAGGCGCGAAAACUUUACACUGUACGGAAGUGCGAUAAGGGAACUCCCAGUGCUCAUGUUUUACAUGGGCUUUUGCCAAGUGUAAAUAGCUUGGCGAAUAAGUGGUGGGUAAGACGGGUGCCAGCCGCCGCGGUAACACCUGCGCCACGAGUGGGACUCAUUAUUAUUGGGCCUAAAGCGUUCGUAGCCGGAUAUGCAAGUCUUGAGUGAAAUCGAUGCGCUUAACAAAUCGACGUGCUUGAGAUACUACACAUCUUGAGAUCGGGAGGGGUUAGGGGUAUUCUGGAGGGAGCGGUAAAAUGUUAUAAUCUCCAGAGGACCACCUGUGGCGAAGGCGUCUAACCAGAACGAGUCUGACGGUGAGGAACGAAAGCUAGGGGAGCAAACCGGAUUAGAUACCCGAGUAGUCCUAGCUGUAGACGCUGCGAACUAGAUGUUACGUAUUCUUCGUGAAUACGUAGUGUCGGCGUGAAGACAUUAAGUUCGCCGCCUGGGAAGUACGGUCGCAAGGCUGAAACUUAAAGGAAUUGGCGGGAGAGCACCACAAGGGGUGCGGCGUGCGGUUUAAUUCAACUCAACGCGGGAAAUCUCACCAGUAGCGACGGCAGAAUGAAGCUCAGUCUAAAGGGCUUAGCUAACGAGCCGAGAGGUAUUGCAUGGCCGUCGUCAGCUCGUGCCGUAAGGUGUCCUCUUAAGUGAGGUAACGAGCGAGACCCAUACCCAUAAUUGCUAGCAGGUGCUUUUGCAUGACUGAGCACUUUAUGGGGACUGCCGUGGAAACACGGAGGAAGGUGUGGGCAACGGUAGGUCUGUAUGGUCCGAAUCUACUGGGCAACACGCGCGCAACAAUGGCGAUGACAAUGGGAUGCAACACCGAGAGGUGAAGCUAAACCUCGAAACGUCGUCCUAGUUUGGAUUGAGGAUUGUAACUCAUCCUCAUGACAACGGAAUCCCUAGUAAUCGGGUUUCAUCACGACCCGGUGAAUAUGUCCCUGCUCUUUGCACACACCGCCCGUCAAACCAACCGAAUUGGGUUCAGGUGAGAUUCAGCUUCAAGUUGCAUCAAAUAUGG